Molecule: ribosomal RNA, 429 nt
Filed under: Bacteroidota bacterium
Lineage: Bacteria; Pseudomonadati; Bacteroidota
Description: Bacteroidetes bacterium partial 16S ribosomal RNA
Rfam family: Bacterial small subunit ribosomal RNA
Source: RNAcentral
UAGGGAAUCUUCCGCAAUGGACGCAAGUCUGACGGAGCAACGCCGCGUGAGUGAAGAAGGAUUUCGGUUCGUAAACCUCUGUUGUUAGAGAAGAACAGCGCAUAGAGUAACUGUUAUGCGUGUGACGGUAUCUAACCAGAAAGCCACGGCUAACUACGUGCCAGCAGCCGCGGUAAUACGUAGGUGGCAAGCGUUGUCCGGAUUUAUUGGGCGUAAAGCGAGCGCAGGCGGUCAUUUAAGUCGGAUGUGAAAGCCCCCGGCUCAACCGGGGAGGGUCAAUGGAAACUGGUUGACUUGAGUGCAGAAGAGGAGAGUGGAAUUCCAUGUGUAGCGGUGAAAUGCGUAGAUAUAUGGAGGAACACCAGUGGCGAAGGCGACUCUCUGGUCUGUAACUGACGCUGAGGCUCGAAAGCGUGGGUAGCAAACAGG